GUGGGGAAUAUUGGACAAUGGGCGAAAGCCUGAUCCAGCCAUGCCGCGUGUGUGAAGAAGGUCUUCGGAUUGUAAAGCACUUUAAGUUGGGAGGAAGGGCAGUAAGUUAAUACCUUGCUGUUUUGACGUUACCAACAGAAUAAGCACCGGCUAACUUCGUGCCAGCAGCCGCGGUAAUACGAAGGGUGCAAGCGUUAAUCGGAAUUACUGGGCGUAAAGCGCGCGUAGGUGGUUCGUUAAGUUGGAUGUGAAAGCCCCGGGCUCAACCUGGGAACUGCAUCCAAAACUGGCGAGCUAGAGUAUGGCAGAGGGUGGUGGAAUUUCCUGUGUAGCGGUGAAAUGCGUAGAUAUAGGAAGGAACACCAGUGGCGAAGGCGACCACCUGGGCUAAUACUGACACUGAGGUGCGAAAGCGUGGGGAGCAAACAGG
Molecule: ribosomal RNA, 430 nt
Filed under: bacterium
Lineage: Bacteria
Description: bacterial SSU rRNA
Rfam family: Bacterial small subunit ribosomal RNA
Source: RNAcentral